This 468-nucleotide ribosomal RNA is filed under the name uncultured bacterium. RNAcentral describes it as "partial 16S ribosomal RNA". It matches the Rfam family "Bacterial small subunit ribosomal RNA", at positions 28 to 507 of the family's 1533-position model. The record is from RNAcentral.
GACGAACGCUGGCGGCGUGCUUAACACAUGCAAGUCGAACGGAAAGGCCCUGCUUUUGUGGGGUGCUCGAGUGGCGAACGGGUGAGUAACACGUGAGUAACCUGCCCUUGACUUUGGGAUAACUUCAGGAAACUGGGGCUAAUACCGGAUAGGAGCUCCUGCUGCAUGGUGGGGGUUGGAAAGUUUCGGCGGUUGGGGAUGGACUCGCGGGUUAUCAGUUUGUUGGUGGGGUAGUGGCUUACCAAGGCUUUGACGGGUAGCCGGCCUGGGAGGGUGACCGGCCACAUUGGGACUGAGAUACGGCCCAGACUCCUACGGGAGGCAGCAGUGGGGAAUAUUGCACAAUGGGCGGAAGCCUGAUGCAGCAACGCCGCGUGCGGGAUGACGGCCUUCGGGUUGUAAACCGCUUUCGCCUGUGACGAAGCGUGAGUGACGGUAAUGGGUAAAGAAGCACCGGCUAACUACGUG